This 1778-nucleotide long non-coding RNA is filed under the name Homo sapiens (human). Its description in RNAcentral is "HSALNT0363729". Lineage: Eukaryota; Metazoa; Chordata; Mammalia; Primates; Hominidae. The record is from RNAcentral.
CACAGACUCAGCGCUCAGACAUCUGGGAGGUGCUGGGUGGCCUGGGUAUUUUUAGAAGGCCAGAGGCAAACAUGCCUGGAAUCCUGGGUGUUGCUGAGCCAAAGAAGCUGGGAGGCCAGCAGAGGGUGAACCAGAAGAGGUGGCCUCGGCCCGGGUCCUAACUUCACCAAGGUGGCUAACAAAUUUUUCCAGCAACACAGAGCUGAGAGGAUUGGGAUCUCAGAGAAGAAGGAGCCCUGCAUUCUUGGCUUCAUCUGCCUGGAGUGGAGUUUCCAUCAUGCUGAGCUGGAGGUGCACGGGGCCAGGGAAUGAGCAAGUCGUAGCUCAAAUGUCCCAGACUCUUACUAUUCUUAUUGAAAUUUAGUAGGUUUUCUUGAAUAAAUGUUUCUUCAUCUGCUGUAUGCCCUUAGGACAAUUCCCAGGAACAUACAUCUAUAUUGAUAUCAAUAUAAAUAUAAAUAGAUAAUUAUGUAUGUAUAACUUUAGCAGUUUUACUUGUUCUGCUGGAAAGAAGGUCUGGAAGGUUUGCAGAGCUGCUCAUGCCACCAUUCCAGAAGUUAUCCACCAGUUCAUUGCUUUUUGCACAGUAGUAUUCCAUUGCAUGUCUAUGCCACAAUUUGUUUAUCCAUUCACCUGUUGAUGGACAUUUGAGCUGUUUCCUGUUUGAGGCUAUUACAAAUAAAGCUGCUUUACAAAUAAAGCUGCUUUGAACAUUUGUGUAUAAGUCUUUGGACAUAUGCUUUGAUUUAUCUUGAGUAAAUAUCUAGAAGUGGAGUGGCUGGGUUAUAUGGUAGGUUUGUGUUUUAAUUUUUAAGAAGCUGCUAAGAUGUCUUCCAAAGUGAUUCCCCCAUUAUGCACUCCUGCCAGCAGUGUGUGAGAGUUCCAGUUUCUCCAGAUUCUCACCAACACCUGGUAUGGUCAGUCUUUUUAAUGUUAGCCAUUCUAAUAGAUGUGUAGUGGUAUCUCAUUGUGGUUUUAAUUUUCAUUUUCCUAAUAGGUAAUGAUGUGUUUGAGCAUUUUUUCAUGUGCCUAUUUACUAUCCAUACACCUACUUGGUGAAAUAUCUGUUCAAAUCUUUUGCCUCCUUUCUUUUUUCAUAAUUGGGUGGUUUGUUUUCUUAUUAUUGAGUUUUGAGAGUUCUUUCUAUAUUGCAGAUACAAAUUUUUCUUGGAUAUGUGUACUGCAAUAGUUUCUCCCAGUUAGUAGCAUGUCUUUUCAUUCUCCUAACGGUUUCUUUCAAAAGGCAAAUGUUCUUAAUUUUGAUGAAGUCCAAUUUACAAAUAUUUUUCCUUUACAGAUCAUGUUUCUGGUAUUAUAUUUAUAAAAUCUUUGCCUAACUCGAGGUCACGAAGAUUUUGUUUUAUUGUUUAGUGUUCUCUCCUUCCAAUUUUUGGUUCCCAUUGUGUGUAUGGUUUUAUAUCUUGCUUUUUUUCCCAAAAAAACUUUAAAAAAUUUAAAUCCAUGGAAAAAUUGAAAGAUUAGUAUCAUGAACAAUGGCAUACUUUUUGCCUACAAGCAUCAAUUGUUAAUACCUUGCUACAUUUGCUAUAUCUCCCUGGAUACCUUUAAGUUGCAGGAUUUUGUAACACUGACUUUUUGCAAGGUCUAGGAAACCCAUCCUGAAAAUGUUCUUUAAAAAACAUCAACAGCAGCCUGUGCCAUUUUCUGCGAUAACAAAGGUCGUACUUGCCCAGUGUAGAGGACUGGGAAAAAACAGAGCAGCAAAAGAAGAAAAUAAAACUGUUCCCUCCCCCUAUUCCAACCCCAUGAUACCAGGA